RNAcentral lists this ribosomal RNA (500 nucleotides) under uncultured bacterium. RNAcentral describes it as "partial 16S ribosomal RNA". It matches the Rfam family "Bacterial small subunit ribosomal RNA", at positions 30 to 523 of the family's 1533-position model. The record is from RNAcentral.
AUUGAACGCUGGCGGCAGGCCUAACACAUGCAAGUUGAGCAGAUGACGGGAGCUUGCUCCUUGAUUCAGCGGCGGACGGGUGAGUAAUGCCUAGGAAUCUGCCUGGUAGUGGGGGACAACGUUUCGAAAGGAACGCUAAUACCGCAUACGUCCUACGGGAGAAAGCAGGGGACCUUCUGGCCUUGCGCUAUCAGAUGAGCCUAGGUCGGAUUAGCUAGUAGGUGAGGUAAUGGCUCACCUAGGCGACGAUCCGUAACUGGUCUGAGAGGAUGAUCAGGCAAACUGAAACUGAGACACCGUCCAGCCUCCUACGGAGGGAAUCAGUGGGGAAGAUUGGACAAUGGGCGAAAGCCUGAUUCAGCCCUGCCGCGUGUGUGAAGAUGGUCUUCGGAUUGUAAAGCACUUUAAGUUGGGAGGAAGGGCAGUAAGUUAAUACCUUGCUGUUUUGACGUUACCGACAGAAUAAGCACCGGCUAACUCUGUGCCAGCCGCCGCCGUAA